This 311-nucleotide ribosomal RNA is filed under the name uncultured bacterium. RNAcentral describes it as "bacterial SSU rRNA". It matches the Rfam family "Bacterial small subunit ribosomal RNA", at positions 30 to 342 of the family's 1533-position model. The record is from RNAcentral.
AUUGAACGCUGGCGGCAGGCCUAACACAUGCAAGUCGAGCGAGAAAGGUCUUCGGACUGAGUACAGCGGCGGACGGGUGAGUAAUGCGCAGGAAUCUACCUGGUAGUGGGGGGAUAACUCGGGGAAACUCGAACUAAUACCGCAUACGCCUACGGGGAAAGGACGGGGACCGUUCGGCCGUCGCGCUAUCAGGUGAGCCUGCGUAGGAUUAGCUUGUUGGUGAGGUAAAGGACUCACCAAGCGACGAUCCUUAGCUGGUCGUGAGAGGAUGAUCAGCCACACUGGAACUGAGACACGGUCCAGACUCCUAC